RNAcentral lists this long non-coding RNA (588 nucleotides) under Rattus norvegicus (Norway rat). RNAcentral describes it as "long non-coding RNA NONRATT010736". The record is from RNAcentral. Lineage: Eukaryota; Metazoa; Chordata; Mammalia; Rodentia; Muridae.
UUCGAGUGAAGGCUAUGGAUUGUACCCUAGAUCCCCUUCUGCUGUGUCAGCUUCACAUGAAGCAAUCUUGCCUCAAGAAAGAGAGUCUACCAUAUUUGGUAUAAGGGGAAAGAAGUUACACUUUUCAUCGUCUUACAAAGCAUCUCCCAGCACCAAAGCCUCUGGCUCGUCUGCUGAUGGAGAGGAGGCGGACUGUAUAAUCUUCUCUGAAGGAAUAAUCGAGGAGUACCUAGCUUUUGACCACACAGAUAUGUGAGUACCUCCUUUCAAGAGUCUCACUCUGGUGUAUCUAUUAGCGUCUACUUUUUUAGAGACUGAUUACUAAUGUCGCCUGAAGUAGAUUUGUAACCAUUUGGAAUCUGUUUCCAGUUAGCUCCCACAUGCACAGCUCAUGUCCUGUUGCUCCCACACACCAGGGUCCUCCAUACCUUCUUCUCCACUUACGGUUUGCCUUUUCUAUAAUCAGAUGUUUAAAUGACUAAUUUUAUCUACAUAAUCUGAUUUUAUCCUUUUAUAAAUUAUCACCAGUGAUAACAUCAAAAAGUUGAAGAGGUGUGAACUUUGUUUAAAAUAAACUUUCUUACUUUG